This 75-nucleotide antisense RNA is filed under the name Streptomyces acidiscabies. Its description in RNAcentral is "ASpks TB sRNA". It matches the Rfam family "ASpks TB sRNA". Lineage: Bacteria; Bacillati; Actinomycetota; Actinomycetes; Kitasatosporales; Streptomycetaceae. The record is from Rfam by way of RNAcentral.
CUUGACCGACCCCAGCCACAGCGGACGAUCCUCCGGCCGGUCCCGUCCGUAGGUCGCCAGGAGCGCCUGGGCCUC